Molecule: long non-coding RNA, 811 nt
Filed under: Bos taurus (domestic cattle)
Lineage: Eukaryota; Metazoa; Chordata; Mammalia; Artiodactyla; Bovidae
Description: long non-coding RNA NONBTAT024599
Source: RNAcentral
CCCCGGGGGGCGUGGAAUGCAGGCCGAGGUGGCUUCCGCAGAGGCUUCGGCAGUGGCGUCCAGGGCCGGGGUCGCAGCCGGGGCCGGGGCCGGGGCAGGGGCUGCGGAGCUCGCGGAGGCAAGGCCGAGGACAAGCAGUGGCUCCACGUGACCAAGCUGGGCCUCCUGGUCAAGGACAUGAAGAUCGAGUCCCUGGAGGAGAUCUACCUUUUCUCUCUGCCCAUCAAGGAGUCUGAGAUUAUUGCUUUUUCCUGGGAGCAUCCCUCAAGGAUGAGGUUUUGAAGAUUAUGCCCGUGCAAAAGCAGACCCGUGCCGGCCAGUGGACCAGGUUCAAGGCAUUUGUUGCCAUCGGGUAUUACAACGGACGAAGUAGCCACUGCCUCUGUGGGACCAUCAUCCUGGCCAAGCUGUCCAUCGUCCCUGUGCGAAGAGGCUACUGGGGGAACAAGAUCUGCAAGCCCCACACGGUUCCUUGCAAGGUGACUGGCCGCUGUGGCUCCAUGCUGGUGCGCCUCAUCCUUGCCCCCAGAGGCACUGGCAUCUCUCCACCCCUGUGCCCAAGAAGCUGCUGCUCAUGGCCGGCAUCUACGACUGCUACACUUCUGCCAGGGGCUGCACCGCCACCCUGGACAACUUCGCCAAGGCCACUUUUGAUGCCAUUUCCAAGACCUACAGUUAUCUCACCCCUGACCUCUGGAAAGAGACAGUGUUCACCAAGACUCCAUAUCAGGAAUUCACUGACCAUCUUGUGAAGACCCACACCAGAGUCUCCAUGCAGAGGACCCAGGCCCCAGCUGUAGCCACCACAUAA